This 952-nucleotide ribosomal RNA is filed under the name Trigonopterus sp. 755 AR-2022a. RNAcentral's name for it is "SSU rRNA". It matches the Rfam family "Eukaryotic small subunit ribosomal RNA", at positions 38 to 931 of the family's 1831-position model. The record is from RNAcentral. Lineage: Eukaryota; Metazoa; Arthropoda; Insecta; Coleoptera; Curculionidae.
CAAAGAUUAAGCCAUGCAUGUCUCAGUACAAGCCAAAUUAAGGUGAAACCGCGAAAGGCUCAUUAAAUCAGUUAUGGUUCCUUAGAUCGUACCCACAAUUACUUGGAUAACUGUGGUAAUUCUAGAGCUAAUACAUGCAAACAGAGCUCCGACCGGAGACGGAAGGAGUGCUUUUAUUAGAUCAAAACCAAUCGGUGGCGGGUUCGCUCGUCAUCGUACAACUUGGUGAUUCUGAAUAACUUUACGCUGAUCGCACGGUCAUCGCACCGGCGACGCAUCUUUCAAAUGUCUGCCUUAUCAACUGUCGAUGGUAGGUUCUGCGCCUACCAUGGUUGUAACGGGUAACGGGGAAUCAGGGUUCGAUUCCGGAGAGGGAGCCUGAGAAACGGCUACCACAUCCAAGGAAGGCAGCAGGCGCGCAAAUUACCCACUCCCGGCACGGGGAGGUAGUGACGAAAAAUAACGAUACGGGACUCAUCCGAGGCCCCGUAAUCGGAAUGAGUACACUCUAAACCCUUUAACGAGGAUCAAUUGGAGGGCAAGUCUGGUGCCAGCAGCCGCGGUAAUUCCAGCUCCAAUAGCGUAUAUUAAAGUUGUUGCGGUUAAAAAGCUCGUAGUCGAAUUUGUGUCUCGCGCCGCCGGUUCAUCGUUCGCGGUGUUAACUGGCGAGUCGCGAGACGUCCUGCCGGUGGGCUUAGCUCGCGAGGGCGGCCCAACUCAAUCCUGCCGCGGUGCUCUUCAUUGAGUGUCGAGGUGGGCCGGCACGUUUACUUUGAACAAAUUAGAGUGCUUAAAGCAGGCUAAAACUUCGCCUGAAUACUGUGUGCAUGGAAUAAUGGAAUAGGACCUCGGUUCUAUUUUGUUGGUUUUCGGAACCCCGAGGUAAUGAUUAAUAGGAACGGAUGGGGGCAUUCGUAUUGCGACGUUAGAGGUGAAAUUCUUGGAUCGUCGC